RNAcentral lists this ribosomal RNA (460 nucleotides) under uncultured bacterium. RNAcentral describes it as "partial 16S ribosomal RNA". It matches the Rfam family "Bacterial small subunit ribosomal RNA", at positions 338 to 795 of the family's 1533-position model. The record is from RNAcentral.
CCUACGGGUGGCAGCAGUGAGGAAUAUUGGUCAAUGGACGAGAGUCUGAACCAGCCAAGCCGCGUGAAGGAUGACUGCCCUAUGGGUUGUAAACUUCUUUUAUAUGGGAAUAAAAACUUCUACGCGUAGGCGUUUGAAUGUACCAUAUGAAUAAGGAUCGGCUAACUCCGUGCCAGCAGCCGCGGUAAUACGGAGGAUCCGAGCGUUAUCCGGAUUUAUUGGGGUUAAAGGGUGCGUAGGUGGAUUGUUAAGUCAGCUGUGAAAGUCUGCGGCUCAACCGUGGAAUUGCAGUUGAAACUGGCAGUCUUGAGUACAGUAGAGGUAGGCGGAAUGCGUGGUGUAGCGGUGAAAUGCUUAGAUAUCACGCAGAACUCCGAUUGCGAAGGCAGUUCACCGGACUGCAACUGACGCUGAGGCACGAAAGUGUGGGUAUCAAACAGGAUUAGAUACCCGUGUAGUC